Crotalus tigris (Tiger rattlesnake) is the source of this 3182-nucleotide long non-coding RNA. RefSeq lists it as uncharacterized. The transcript is spliced from 2 exons. Lineage: Eukaryota; Metazoa; Chordata; Lepidosauria; Squamata; Viperidae. The record is from RefSeq and is a predicted model, not a curated record.
AAGAUGCUUAGCAACAUAAAUUUGGGGCUCAAUCAUGGUCAUAAGUCGAGGACUACCUGUAGAUGUGCCACGGCACCUGUAGUGGGCAUGUUUUUUGGAGAGAGAUUCCUCCUUCAGAGGAAUACAGCAACAGGCCUCAUUCCCAUACAACAUCUAUAUGUAAAGAAUACUAGACAACCCAUGAUCCAUUGGGUCAGUCUUUCCACACACAGUAUAAUAUAGGCUUGCACAGUUUCCCUUCAUCUCACAACCCUUAGGAGAGCUCCGGUUAAGCCGCCUCCUCCUCCUCAGCUGAUCCAAUGAAUUGCUUGCCACUGCUGAGGGAAGGGGAAACCAAGAAAGUUGCAGACCACAAGGUAAACUGAACCCCUGCUCCCCAUUCUGGUGCGUGCCCAAGGAUCCCCUCCCUACAGGGAGGAAGAGGGCUCAUACAUCAAUGCCAGUGCCCCCCCCCCAGCCAGUCCUACCUUACCAGCAGGCACAUCAGUCCCUCCCUCGUCCUUCCUCUUUCCAGAAUAUAGGCUUGGGGAAAUCUCCAGCCGGUCCUACCUUGUCAGCAGCCAUUCAAGAGUCAAUCCUUCAUUCUUCCCUUUCUGCCACCGCUGUUAAGAGAUUUCAGAUUUUGGGCUUACUUUUAACAUAGCCAAAUAGCCACUUACUCAUUGGGCCUUCCUACCAGCCAAUUGGGCAUAGGGGCCAGAGGAACACAGGAAAAAGGGUUGGAAUACAAUCUUUCCUUGUGCCACACAACCUAUGGGUUUCUGGGGAACUGUCGUUGAUAUUGUGGCACUGAAGCGGCCCCAACUUUCCCAGAUUUCAUUUCCAUAGGAGUUAUGGCUCUCAGCAUUCUGUAAGUUAUACCAUGUCAGUUCCUUGGUUCAAUAAUUGUUGCCGUAUAUUCUCCAAUUUUGUCCAAUUGAAGGUUACAAAGUUGCAAACAGACAUGAGAAUAUUAGUAGUAUAUAGAUACCACAUUUAAAUACUUUAAUUAUUCUCAGGGUAGAGGUAUCAGUACUUGGGUCAUGCAAUAGAAUAGUUUUUAAUAAUGGAUUGCUAUCAAACGUCAUUCAGUAGUUUCUUUCCUGCUAUUUUCCCAUUGUGUAUUACAAUAUGCUAUUUCCUUUUCAUUCUUAAACUGUUAUAUAAUCUUGCUCUGUAGUCUACAAUAUAUCUUUGUAACUUUUGUAAACAUUUUGUUGGUAUUGUUAACAUUUUAACUGUUUUUAACCCCUACUAAUUCAGUCUUCAAGGCAUUCCAAUUAAUAAAUUAUAAAUGAGCCAUGCUAGAGUACUGUUGCAUUCAUUUUAGUUAACUCCAACUUUGAGUUGAGAUAAAUGUAAAAAAUACUUAUACUUUAGUUCUUUAUUUCUGUAAACUUUUGAUGUUGUGUAUAUGCAUGGAGAUUUGUUCAGCACUAUGGGACAGGACUUCAAUUUGCAUAAUGAAAUUUUCUAUUUGUGAGGAAUCAAGGAUCCAUAUGCUAGCAGAAAAGCUUUGAUAUGUUUUUAGAAGAUAUAUGUAAUACUUUAAUAAGUAGAAAUCAAGAAUCCCUGUCAUCUACCUCUUUAUUCAGAGAUAACUGAAUUUCAAUACUUCUGAAAAAAGAGUGUCAUGGAUCCAGACAGCUAUUGUGGUUAGAAAUGCACCCAGAACCAAUUUUGCAUAUUUUAAAAGAUAGCAUAGAUUCUUCCCCUGAAUGAAAUUGAAUGGAUGUGGCUAAAAUAAAAAUGUCCUGAUUAUGUAUUGAAGAUAAUGCUGCCAUAUUUUUCCUGCAAAAUACUUUUUUUUGUUCAAAAUCUUUUCUAGCUAUUCGUCUCCUUGACUUUUCUUUCCAGAUUUUGUUUCCUAUCCUGUUUGCCAUGUUUCCCUUCUUACGUGUCAGGAAAUUACCCUCCCCUUCUUCAUUUUGAUGGCAGAAACCAGUGAAGCCCAAGCUAAAGAAAAUAAUAUAUGAUUCAGUUGCUUCCCAAGGCCAUCAAGAUCCAUUAAUUUGGAAAAGCAACAAGAAAAAGGCCUAGAGUUUAAAUUAUGGAACGUAGACACAGGUAAAGGCUUUGAUGGUUUUACUCUAUAGUAGACAAAUAAACUAUUGUAUUAUUUUAUCUUUCUCUAAUACUAAUAAUAUAUUUUAAUAGUAUAGAUGAGGUAAUAGUAUAAUCUAAUCGUAUUUGACAAUCUUCAAUCAGUUAAUGCCAAAUCUUGUUCCCGUAACCUUUCACUAAGCAAAAUGGUGUGUUUGUUUGAACCAAGAUACCUCAAAUGAGUUAACUUACAGAAUGUGUCCAAAUUCCUGGACCCAUAACUCCCAUGGAAUUGAUAUUCAGAAAAUUUUAUAAAACAACUUAUGACAUAAAAACUAUCAUAAAACAGUUUAUGACAUAAUAUAAAAUGUCAGAAACAUUUCCUGUGUGAUGUUUGACAAUGGGCGAUGUUCAAGGCAGAUGCAUCUCUGAAAGCAUGUAUCUUGGAAGGCAGUACAUUAGGAGUUCUGUCAUUGUUAAAAGCAUUAAGGAAUCUGAUAAAAAAAAUUCUCUAAAAGGAUCAUCCAAGGGAACAUGGGUUUUCUAAUAAGGGACUAAAAUGACUGGAAAGCUGAAAUAUACUACUGAACGCUGGUUUGAAACCUGGCACUUGAGUUGAUUUGAAUGUAUUUAUUUAUUUUAUUAAACAAAUGUAUAUAGCUGCCCAGCUCACACAGUGACUCCGGGUGGCAUAAAUCAUUAAAAAUAACAGUUGUAAAAUCCACAAUUUAAACCCCACCAGUCUACCCCAGGUUGGAAAUUCAGCUUUUGUCACAAUCUGAUUUGAUUUUCUGGCUUCCAGAUUCAAGGACAAUUGAAUUCAACCUAAUUCUAGAUUCUGUUUUAAAGACAUUUUUUAUUAGGCUAUAUUUGGAAAAUAUUAAAAUGGCAGAAUGAGAUGAAACUAGCAGAGAUAAUAUUCUUAAAAUGACAGCUCACUCUGACUCAAGAGUUUCACUGCAAUAUAUAUUUUUAAUGUUCUUCUUGUGUUUGCUUUAAGACACAGGUAGUGAAGAUAUGGAAAGGACAGCUCAGCGGCCUCGAGUCUUUGUGGUCGUAAGCUUGUACAAGAUUGUACUGAAAAAAAAUUCUAUUUUAAAAAUACAAACUUUCUGGACUAGCAGAUGGGACAUGCUUUUUUUUUUUUUUUUUAGCAGAAU